AGGGUUUGAUCAUGGCUCAGAACGUACGCUGGCGGCACGCCUAACACAUGCAAGUCGAACGCAGUAGCAAUACUGAGUGGCAGACGGGUGAGUAACAUGUGGGAAUCUGCCUUGUGGUUCAGGACAACAUUGGGAAACCGAUGCUAAUACUGGAUAAGCCCUUACGGGGAAAGUUUUAAUGCCAUAAGAUGAGCCCGCAUUUGAUUAGUUAGUUGGUGAGGUAAUGGCUCACCAAGACAAUGAUCAAUAGCUGAUCUGAGAGGAUGAUCAGCCACACUGGGACUGAGACACGGCCCAGACUCCUACGGGAGGCAGCAGUGGGGAAUCUUGCACAAUGGAGGAAACUCUGAUGCAGCGAUGCCGCGUGAGUGAAGAAGGCCUUUGGGUUGUAAAGCUCUUUUGUAGGGGAAGAUAAUGACUGUACCCUAAGAAUAAGGUCCGGCUAACUUCGUGCCAGCAGCCGCGGUAAUACGAAGGGACCUAGCGUAGUUCGGAAUUACUGGGCGUAAAGCGCGCGUAGGCCGUUGAGUUAGUUAAUUGUGAAAUCCCAAAGCUUAACUUUGGAACUGCAAUUAAAACUGCUCGACUAGAGUUUGAUAGAGGAAAGCGGAAUACAUAGUGUAGAGGUGAAAUUCGUAGAUAUUAUGUAGAACACCAGUUGCGAAGGCGGCUUUCUGGGUCAACACUGACGCUGAGGCGCGAAAGUAUGGGUAGCAAAGAGGAUUAGAUACCCUCGUAGUCCAUACCAUAAACGAUGAUUGCUAGAUGUUGGAAAUUUAUUUUCAGUAUCGCAGCUAACGCAUUAAGCAAUCCGCCUGGGGAGUACGACCGCAAGGUUAAAACUCAAAUGAAUUGACGGGGACCCGCACAAGCGGUGGAGCAUGUGGUUUAAUUCGAAGAUACGCGCAGAACCUUACCAACCCUUGACAUGUCUGUCGCGAGUUUAGGAAACUAGACUUUUCGGUUCGGCCGGACAGAACA
RNAcentral lists this ribosomal RNA (981 nucleotides) under uncultured bacterium. Its description in RNAcentral is "bacterial SSU rRNA". It matches the Rfam family "Bacterial small subunit ribosomal RNA", at positions 8 to 1034 of the family's 1533-position model. The record is from RNAcentral.